Molecule: long non-coding RNA, 1542 nt
Organism: Mytilus californianus (California mussel)
Lineage: Eukaryota; Metazoa; Mollusca; Bivalvia; Mytilida; Mytilidae
Exons: 2
Source: RefSeq, a predicted model, not a curated record
AAAUGCUCCGCUGGGUGCAGCUUGAUACGACCGCAGAGGUCGAACUCUGAACAGUUGGGGCAAGUAUGGACACAACAUUCAAGCUUGAUACAGCACUGAAUUUGGAUUGUGAUUAAAUAUUUGACACAGCAUAGGUUUCUGACACAGAAUGAAUGUGGUCUAAGAACUUAAAAAUUUUAAAUUGGACAUUCACCUAUUAUGGUCCAAUAUCCAAAAUCUAAAUACAUGGUUAGAUUCAGCAUAUCAAAGAACCCCAAGAAUUCAAUUUUUGAUGAAAUCAAACAAAGUUUAAUUUUGGACCCUUUUGACCUCAAUGUGGACAAAGUUGAUAACGGGGCCCAAAAAUCAAAAAUCUAAAUACAUGGUUAGAUUCAGCAUAUCAAAGAACCCCAUAUAUUCAAUUUUUGUUGAAAUCAAACAAAGUUUAAUUUUGGACCCCGAUUUGGACCAACUUGAAAACUGGGCCCAUAAUCAAAAAUCUAAAUACAUGUUUAGAUUCAGCAUAUCAAAGAACCCUAAAAAUUCAAUUUUUGUUAAAAUCAAACUAAGUUUAAUUUUGGACCCUUUUGACCUUAAUGUAGACCAAUUUGAAAACGGAACCAAAAAUUAAGAAUCUAAAUACACGGUUAGAUUCGGCAUAUCAAAGAACCCCAAUAAUUCAAUUUUUGAUGAAAUCAAACAAAGUUAAAUUUUGGACCCUUUGGACCUCAAUGUGGACCAAUUUAAAAACGGGGCCCAAAAUCCAAAAACUUAAUACACGGUUAGAUUCAGCAUAUUAAAGAACCCCAAGAAUUCAAGAAUAAAACCCCAUUGAAAUUGAUCAAGAAAUAAGCAAUUUAUACGAAGUAUCUUCUUUUGCACAAUACUGUGCAAUUGAAUAUUUCUUGCUAUUGUGCAAUACUGUACAUUUGACAAUUUCUUGCUAUUGCGCAAUAUUGUGCUAUUGGAUAUUUCUUGCUAUUGCGCAAUACAAGAUUUCUUGCAAUUGUGCAAUACUGUGCAAUUGAAAAUUUCUUGCUAUUGCACAAUACUUAUUAUAUAAUAAUUUACACAUCCUGUUUGGUGUGUAUCACCUACCAUAUCAUUAUUAUUUGCUUUUAAAUAUUAAUCAGAAAUAACCAACUUAAAAUGGAAAAUUUUAAAAGAAAAAAAAAAGGAAAAAAAGAAAAAAAAAGAAAAAAAAAAAAUCCCCCCCCCAAAUUUUUUGAACCCCCUUAUGAUUCAUCACCCCCAAACUCAAUCCCAGCCUUCCCUUUGUGGUAUGGUACCUUGCAGUACAAUUUUAGAGAUAUCCAUACACUUGAACACAAGUUAUUGUCUGGAAACUAGAAAAAUGCUUAUUUUUGGCCCCUUUUUGGCCCCCAAUUCCUAAACUUUUCGGGCAAUUACCCCCAAACUCAAUUCCAGCUUUCCCUUUGUGAUAUGGAACCUUGUAGUACAAUUUCAGAAAUAUCCAAACACUUACACACAAGUUAUUGUCAUGAAACUAGAAAAAUGCUUGUUUUUUGCCCCUUUUUUUGCCCCUAAUUCCUAAUAUUUUGA